CCUACGGGGGGCAGCAGUGGGGAAUAUUGCGCAAUGGGCGAAAGCCUGCCGCAGCGACGCCGCGUGAGGGCUGAAGGUCUUCGGAUCGUUAACCUCUGUCAGCAGGGAAGAACGGUCACUGUGCUAAUCAGCAGUGAAUUGCCGGUACCUGCACAGGAAGCACCGGCUAACUCCGUGCCAGCCGCCGCGGUAAUACGGAGGGUGCGAGCGUUCAUCGGAAUUACUGGGCGUAAAGCGCUCGUCGGCGGUAGGGCAAGUCACGGGUGAAAUCCCCGCGCUCAACGGGGGAACGGCCUUUGAAACGGGCAAACUUGAGUGUGUGAGAGGAUAGUGGAAUUCCAGGUGUAGGAGUGAAAGCCGUAGAUAUCUGGAGGAACAUCAGUGGCGAAGGCGACUAUCUGGCACAUAACUGACGCUGAGGAGCGAAAGCGUGGGUAGCAAACAGGAUUAGAUACCCUGGUAGUC
RNAcentral lists this ribosomal RNA (465 nucleotides) under uncultured bacterium. RNAcentral's name for it is "partial 16S ribosomal RNA". It matches the Rfam family "Bacterial small subunit ribosomal RNA", at positions 338 to 795 of the family's 1533-position model. The record is from RNAcentral.